This is a long non-coding RNA of Sinocyclocheilus anshuiensis, 607 nucleotides long. RefSeq lists it as uncharacterized. The transcript is spliced from 4 exons. Lineage: Eukaryota; Metazoa; Chordata; Actinopteri; Cypriniformes; Cyprinidae. The record is from RefSeq and is a predicted model, not a curated record.
UCUGUUCACUUAAAUACAAGCAUUGUGAUUUUGGUUUGAUAUAAUCAAAUCACUGUCAGCGUAAACAUGAGGUCGGUGGUUUUGGGUUUGUUUCUGUGGGCUGCCCUUUCUCUAGUCAAUGCUGCAUGCUUCAUUGAGGAAUACAAAACAUCAGUUACGUUUUGCCAUGAUGGGACAGAUAAGACAUGGCAUCCUACUGGAUCUGUUUGGAGAAACAGUAAAUGUUUUGACUGUAAUUGUUCUGCUGAUUCCAUGAGGUGCUGUGAUGCAAUGCAGAGGCCUGUUAAUUAUCCGGACAAGUGCCAAGUGGAGUAUGAUUACACUACAUGCACAUUUGAAAUAUUUGAGAAAGUUCCCUGUUCUGCUACCGGUGGUGUUAUCGGGAAAUGACGGCCAUGAAUUAUGAAAAGGAUGCCAUCUUCAUUGUAUUAUCUGCUGAUUUAAACGACAGUAACUUGUGUUUAAUUUGAAAAAAUAAAAAACAUUAUACAUGUGUUCAUUUUCAAUUUCAAGCAUGUUUUAACAUUAAACAGCAUGACGUGACAUUGAUAAAUGAAAGUAAAUUGAUUUUACUCGUGUUUAUAUAAUUAAAACAGAAUCAAUACAG